UACGUAGGGGGCGAGCGUUGUCCGGAUUUAUUGGGCGUAAAGGGCGCGUAGGCGGCGCCUUGAGUCGUGCGUGAAAGGCCCUGGCUCAACUGGGGAUCGUCGUGCGAUACUGGGGCGCUGGAGGGCGGAAGAGGGAAGCGGAAUUCCCGGUGUAGUGGUGGAAUGCGUAGAUAUCGGGAGGAACACCAGUGGCGAAGGCGGCUUCCUGGUCCGUACCUGACGCUGAGGCGCGAAAGCGUGGGGAGCGAAC
This 250-nucleotide ribosomal RNA is filed under the name uncultured bacterium. Its description in RNAcentral is "partial 16S ribosomal RNA". It matches the Rfam family "Bacterial small subunit ribosomal RNA", at positions 524 to 773 of the family's 1533-position model. The record is from RNAcentral.